This 495-nucleotide long non-coding RNA is filed under the name Aedes aegypti (yellow fever mosquito). RNAcentral's name for it is "uncharacterized LOC5568226 (LOC5568226)". The record is from RNAcentral. Lineage: Eukaryota; Metazoa; Arthropoda; Insecta; Diptera; Culicidae.
AAGUCGGAAGAUGAAGUCGAUUGUAACAAGUGUCUUGGCCUUAGGCAUUCUUGCUGCCGUUAUUUUCUGUUCACCAGUGCCUACGGAAAAUUCUGGAGAAGUGGUUUGCAACAAAGAUGGUUGUAGAUUUCCUGUCAAAGAUUACGGACCUUCUGUAACGCCUUACACUCCGACGCUAAAACCAAGAGUACGGACCAUGAUUGUACCACCUUUGUGGGUUAACCAAACUUGGAUGGAAAUAAUUGCACGAUCGUCCUCUACUAUGGCGCCUGAAGAAGACCAAAGUGCAGCGACAUCCGUGGAAGAUAAUUACGAUGAGAACGAAGAAGAUAACAUGGUGUGACCAUAAUACUAAAUAAUUCGUUUAAAUUGAUAUUUUUGUAUGAAAAUAAUAUAGAAAUAAUAUAGAUGUAAAAUUACAGUUUGUUUCAGUAUGUCCUAAAUGUAGAAGUGUACAUAAUCUGAUAAAUAUAUGCCUUCACGUGUUACCCUGAA